RNAcentral lists this ribosomal RNA (490 nucleotides) under uncultured bacterium. RNAcentral's name for it is "partial 16S ribosomal RNA". It matches the Rfam family "Bacterial small subunit ribosomal RNA", at positions 28 to 523 of the family's 1533-position model. The record is from RNAcentral.
GACGAACGCUGGCGGCGUGCUUAACACAUGCAAGUCGAGCGGAAAGGCCCUUUCGGGGGUACUCGAGCGGCGAACGGGUGAGUAACACGUGGGUAAUCUGCCCUUCACUUGGGGAUAACUACCGGAAACGGUGGCUAAUACCCGAUAUGACCAAUCACUGCAUGGUGUGUUGGUGGAAAGUUUUUUCGGUGGAGGAUGUGCUCGCGGCCUAGCAGCGUGUUGGUGGGGUAAUGGCCUACCAAGGCUUCGACGGGUAGCCGGCCUGAGAGGGUGACCGGCCACACUGGGACUGAGACACGGCCCAGACGCCUACGGGAGGCAGCAGUGGGGAAUAUUGGACAAUGGGCGAAAGCCUGAUCCAGCAACGCCGCGUGAGGGAUGGCGGCCUUCGGGUUGUAAACCUCUUUCAGCGGGGACGAAGCGCCGGUAAUGGUGGUGACGGUACCCGCAGAAGAAGCACCGGCCAACUGCGUGCCAGCCGCCGCCGUAA